GCCUUUUUGUAGAAGUGCACUACAGCCAGUAAAUUUUUUUUUCCAAAAAGAUCUGUUUCUUAAGGGGUUUUGUUUCAGCAAUCUAAUGCAGUGUCCAACAAAGCUUAGGGAAAUGUCUUCAUUUUUAGAUAUUUCUCUCUACUCCUUUCUCUCCUUCCUCUUUUUUUUUUUUUCUUUACCAUUGAUGAACUAUCUGCCUUAUUUCAGUUUUUUUUAGAUUGCCUGAAAUAUUUUCCACUGAAUUUUCUGUGUUGUCUGGGUUGUUGAUCAUGUGCAGAGGUAAAAAAGAGACCUUGCUCAGAAUCAAGUCUCAGACAUAGUAAAAGAUUGUUAUAAAAGUACCUCUAGCAUAUGUUAAAAGAAUUACCUUAUGUGAAAAAGUGUUGAGAUUUAUCACAUACUUUUCACACGUUACUAAAAUAGUUAACUUUUUACUCCUUAUUUUGCUUUUAUGCGUUCAUUCUUUUCCCUUCUCAUGUGAAAUUCCUCAUACAUAACCCAUCGCAUAUCAAUCCAUUUUUCAGAUAAUUUCUCUGGGUUGUUGACAUUAUUUUAAACUUGGUCUUUUAUUUAAAGAGCUUUCCAUUUGGUGUCAUCUAUUAAUUUUUGCCAAUGCACUGUCUGUAUUAUUUUUCACUAUAGUGAAAAUAAUGAAGAAUUUAAACUGUAGGACAUAUGAGAGAAUCCAUUCAACCUUCUUUCAGUAGAAAACAGAUUUUCUGUUCUCAGCUUUCUGUACAGCAGUUUUAACUAGAAUAUAUUUCUCCAGUUUUAUUAUGAAAAAGUCAUGUUGGUCUCUGUCAAAAGCCAUACCAUGUCACAUUGCAGCUUCCCACUCAUGUACUUAGCCAAUUAAUUUGUCAAAGAGUGAAAUUGUAUUGCGUGAGCACAAUUUGUUUUUGACAAAUACAUAUUAAAUGGUACUUAGUACCUUUUUGAUGCUAAUGAACUGAGGGAUUAUUUAAUAUUUUAUUCCAUCAUUCCUUGGGGUAUUGAGGCGUGUUUGAAUAGUCUCUAAUUCCUUAUCUACACCAUUUUCCUCCUUCAGAAUGAUUUUCUCUUUGCGUUUUUUUCCAGUCCUUUAGGAUCUCACUGUCUUCUAAGCAUUCUCAGAAAUACAUGCUGACAGAUUUGAGAUUGCUGUGGCUACUGCUGCAUUUUCAAUACUGUCACUUUGGAUUUGGACUUACAGACUCAGAUCUCCUUGUGGAAACCAUCUCAAAGUUUCCUGUCAAGAAUUGAGUAGUGUUGAUUCUUUUUCCUUACAAAAGAAAGAUGGUUCCAUCACCCAUUUUCUUUAUUAAAAUAUAAUAAUUCAGGGCACUUUGAAAAUAAAAGAAAAUUCAGUGCAGUCAGCAUACUGCAAGAUCUUUGUAUGGCAACUUGAACAACCAGCAAAAUCUUCUACUGGUUACAAUCGAGAUUAUCUGCAUCUAUCCUGAAGAUGUCCUCUAAUCUUAGUAGUCUCUUUGUUUUUAUGUCACCACAACUGGUGCUUUAAAGGCCAAUAAAGUUACUGGGAGAUGGUUCAGUGACUAAAAGCACUGUAGUUAUCUUACAAAAUGAAUCUGUAAAACGAACCUGAACUUUUCCAAAUACCCUAUUAAAACUGCUCUAUAGAUUAAAGGCUGUGUGAACCACUAUAAGGGAACAGUUACAUCAUGGCCUGGACUGAUGACUGAGCACCAGGUGAGCAGGAUGACUGGCCCAGGAAGCACAAGUGGAAGCAAUUCACCUGUUCUUACCACAUGACUGAAAGGAGUGGACUGACCUGUGAGUCUCACCAGUCUCACCUCGGGAAGAUCGUGGAACAGAUCCUCCUAGAAGCUAUGCUAAGGCACAUGGAAGGCAGGGAACUGAUAUGGAAGAACCAGCAUGGCUUCACCAGGGGCAAAUCCUGUUUAACCAAUCUGGUGGUCUUUUGUGAUAGUAUCAUUGCAUGAAUGGACAAGGGAAGGGCCAUUGAUAUCAUCUAUUUUGACUUUAAUAAGGCCUUUGACACAGUACCUCACAACACCCUUCUCUCCAUGUUGGAAAGAUAUGGAUUUGAUGGUUGGACUGUUUGAUGGAUGAAGAACUGGCUGCAGAAUCGAGUCCAGAGCAUGUCCACAGAAGAGCUACAGAAAUGAUCCAUGGAAUGGAACACCUUCGCUACGAGGACAGGCUUAGAGAGCUGGGGCUGUUCAGCCUGGAGAAGAGAAGGCUGCAAGGUGACCUGAUAGCAGCCUUUCAGUUUAUAAAGCUGAUAUCAAGCUAACUGCCUUAGAUGUAAUGGACUCUGCCAGCGGAUCAGAAAAUAAAAACAACGGAAGAGAAGAAAGAUGCCAAAUGUUUUUGAGGUACUCUCCAGCAGUGAAAUGAAUGAUUUUAGUCAAAUGUGCAUUGUGGAUGCUGGAUGGAUACGUCAGCCAGAUCUUUGGGCAUGUGAAUCUCUGUACAUCUACACAUCUCGCGUCUUCCCUUCUUCUUGCCUCAAGUUUGGAGUCCACUUUCAAGCUGCAACCUAACAUUCAUCCACUUCCUCAAUAGCCUUUCUCCAGCCUCUUUGGAAAAGCAGACCCUUUGUACAGUGAUUGAAACUGAACUUACAUCUCCCAGUCUUGUGUUUUAUAAGUGAAUGCCAUGAGCAAACAAAUCCUAAACUGAGGCUCAGACCAAGAAGACCUGGACUAUUAAAAUCUCUCAUUGUGGAAAUUCAGAAUUAGACACACAUCAUCUCUAGUACUGAACAAUCAGGACCUUCUAAGUAAGAUUAUGCUCAGAAUUUUAUUCAGACAUCUGGGGGAGAACAUCCUUUAACUACAUGUAACAUCUUUGGUUUUGAAUAAUAAGUCCUUUAAAGCAGGUACCGAGCAUAAAUUAUCAUCUAUUAUCAAACAUAAGUUUCUCUAUACCAGCUUUCAUAGUGCAUCUGUUAAAUAAAUGUCCAUUAUUGCUUCUUUUUAGUAGGUAAGCUUUAUAGUAUUUUCCUUUAGCUGAAAUCUAUAUUCAAAUUAAUUAAGUAUUUCAGAUGAAUAAAGGCUGAACAGUUAAAGAAAUCUACAAGCUUUCCAGGGAUUUUAAAUGCUUUUAAUGCAACUUCCUUUUGAAAGGAAGGAAGAAGAAAAGGAUCACCAAAUACUUGAAUAUUUGGAGAAAAAAAAAAAAAAAAAAAAAAAGGAAGAUGACAGGUGUAUGAGCAGAAAAAAAGUCUUGUACUGGAGAGUGCUGGGAGACAUAGAAAUUAUAGGUUUUGUUUGUCAAAGGAGAUAUUAAAAUUUCACCGUAUUUUUUUUAAUACAGGCUCAAAGUCAAUAGCUUUAAAGCAACUCUGAAAGUGAACUCUGGCUAUAGACAGUAUGUUGCUAUGGAAUGGUUUCCACUGCUCAUUAGAAAAAGUUUGUUGCUAUUGCUACAUAGUGUAUCAAAACUGAGUAACUAGUAGUGCUUAGUUCAUCAACAUACAAACUAAUAUGAAUAAAUGAAGGUCAUAUUAUUUCUUGCAAUUGUUUCCUUCAAGCAACAGUUAAGUCCUUCCUGGCUUUUAGGAGAGUACAGAAUUGUAAUUCAGAACAUAAACUUUUUCUUUGCCCUAAGUGUGACUAAAAUUGAAAAUAUUUGAUUUAUUUGUGUCUAUAUUAGUGUCCUGAAUCAGUAACUUGUGGGUAAUAUGUAAAGUAUUUUUCAGUGAGACUCACCACCAUGACUCAGUCAAAGGUAGUAGCCCUUCUUAUAGACCUUUGACAGAGGGAACAUGAUAUGGUGUUGUCCACAUCUGUUACUCAGUAUUGUUGUCCAGGGGCUACUAAAGGUGAGAGACUGUUAAGAUGAACAUUACAUUGAUUUAUUUUGUGCUGUUUUUUUCUUCUGAGAUAUACACAGUCAUUAAUUUCACCAUAAAUCAUCAAGUAUUAGAAUGUUGUAGACUUUUAUACCAAAUUAUAUCUGCUCUAGUAGUAAUCAGAUUAAUUGGAAUGUAAAAGCAAUGUAUAAUCUGGACAGGCUAUAAAGAAUGCUCUGUGAGAUUUGUAUACACAUUUCAGAACACUGCUGACACACAGUUUUUCCUUUCUGCACAAAUUGGUAACUGCACUUAUUAAACUUCUCUGGAAACUUAAUAUACCUCAGGAUGUAUGAGUGAGUGGAGUACAAAAGGGAGAAGAACAGAACAGUACCAUUGCGCAAAGAAGAUCUCCUAGUAUUCUGGAAGAGUUAUAAGUAUGUGUGUGAAGGACAUUUGGGAACAAAACAACCUUGGUUACCAUUUUCACUCUCAUGCAGGCACUUGCAGAUGAGCAAGACUGAUGAGCAUGGAAACAGUGGUGAGCUAGAAUGACAAGGUGUUAAUAAAUGUCUCAAAGUUUGCUCUUUAAAGGUCAGAAACUUUCUGACAUUAAAACAUUGAAGGACUGAAAAGUAGUGUAACACAUGCUAUAAAUCUUCUAGCAGAAGCCUUCAGAAAGCCAUAAAAAGAUCAGUGUUACAACAUACGUAUGAUUGAAUUUCAAUGAAUUAUAAUUUUAUAGCAGCUAUGACGUGAAAUCUCUUUCAUCUUCUGAAAGUGAAGGUUCAGAGUCAUACAGUAUGUUACAUUGUCUUGAUGUUUGUUUAGAAUUCAGAAUACAGCAAAGGAAAGCAGAAGAAAUAAAAGAGACUACUACAAGUUACGUGAGGAAAGAGAACAACCAUUGUUUGAUUAUACAUACAUACUUAAUUGGAAUGAAAAAAUCCUCAACUUGGUAAUGUAUUUCAUUCUGUUAGCCUUGUAGUUGUUUCAUAUUUGACAAAAAUAAAGAAUACAUCUGAAGUUUUUAAAGCUAGAAGAAAAUAUGAUUGCAUUUUUUCGUGUGUGACUGGUUUUGAUUUCAUCUUACAGUUUGUUGGUUCACAAUGCAGCAACAAAACUUUAAACAGAGGAAACUGUGUUCCAAAAGAAAACUCUGUAUCCUCCGAAAAAACACUUGGUGAAUACUCCUAUGUAUGUCUCUAUGGCUGUAACUUCAGUGAAACUUACAGCUGGGAACCUUUACACUCAUGGUAAAUACAUGAGCUACUGUUGCUCAAUUGCUGCACUACAGGGAAGAAGAGAGUUUCUUUACAUGAUGCUAUUCCACACAAAAUGGGCAUACCAGCUCAGGUGAGACAUGCCUUCAAAGUGCACUGUAUGCGUCCCUUGUCAAAAAGAAAUUUUAUGUUAAGAUGUGAUAUGUGAGAGAAAAUAUGAUUUAGUGGUAACCAUUACAGUUAAAGGUAACCUGAUCUUCAUCCAGCAGUUGUCAACUCUGCCCACAGCAGGGGGUGUGGGACUGGAUGAUCUUUCAAAUCCUUCCAACCGAAGCCAUUCUAUCAUUCUAUGAUAGUCUUGAGACAGACUUGUGCGAUUAGGCUCAUGUGAGGAAAAAGAGCUGGUUGGACGUUGGCUUCACAGAUACAGGAGGUUUAGGCCUUUGUGGUUUCAGACUUGAGAUGAUUUGAAGAGAGGCUUAGCCUAAAUCACUGACAUAGUAUUUGCAUAGUUAUUCAUUGGUUUCAUUGCAUGAAUACCUGGGUCAAAACAGAACACUCGGAAGUGUCUUUGUUUUUUUUUCCUCUCUCAAGACUCAGCAAAAUAUUUCAAAAACUGUUCCAUAAAACAAAUGAGAAAAGGUGCAUUUCUACCAGAACAAUAAUAAAUUUUGCCUUUUCUGGACAGAAUGACAUUUUGAUUUUGAAUAGGGAAGCUGGAAUGAGUGAAGGCCUGUGGUCAGAAAAAUAACUAAAAAUCAUCAAUGUCUGCAAUAGCCUCUGCUCAGUCAUAGCAAACAUGAAAUAUCCUUGAGUGGAAAGUCAAAUUUCCUGAAAUGAACAAUCUACAGCAAUCACAAAAAGGGUUGCUACAUCCCCAGCUUAAUCACAGCUAGAGGCAACAGCAAAAAUGACUGAAAGUGUGUCUGUCCACUCAUGAUUGCAGCUAGAAAAAUGCAUUGCAGUAGAGCUGUAAGGUGAGUGUGGGAGCAAGUACACACUAUGUUUACAUUCCAUUUGAGAACCUCUUGUGCUUCUCUGUAAGCAGGAGGGGAAUAAACAACAGUUUUUUCAGAUACCAAUACCAAUUUUAUUUGCUUCUUAUCAGUGAACCCAAACCUGCAAAAGCUUAACAUGCAUUGGGCAGUACGUGUGGGAAUCUGAGACACUGUCAUAUCUUCUGAGCCUUGCAUCAUUUAACUAAGGAAUCAGCAUUUUACUAAAUAUUCCUUAGAGAAAACCUGACAGUUUUAAAAGACAUGAUGCUAGAAGCCCCACUACUUAAGUCACAUGAGAGUUGCCAUAUAUAAUCACCAUGAAGUGCUCAGCUUGAAACAUCUGCUUAUAAUAAAAAUGAAUAGAUUAAAGAAAAUCAUAGACCCACACAUUUACUGGGCUUUAUAGAUGCAGGGGGUAAAUUUUAUGAAUCAGAUCAUCAGGACAUUCCAGCUAUUUCUGGUUGUCUGAAAAUCUUAUUAACAGCGUAUAACACCUUGCCUAUCACUUUUAUUUUUCUAAGUAAGGGCAGGUUGUGACAAAGUGUUGUGUAAAAAUGACCCCUUCUUAUUCAAUAGAUUUGGUUCUCUGUUUAGAUCAUCUAUAUAUAUUAGGUGGGAUGAGUUUGUAAUAAUCCAUUUGCUCCAGGCAGCACAAUUUGCUAAGGCAGUAAAAUCGUGCAAGCUGGAUUUUAUCCCCGCUCACACCUCAUCAGCAGAUUGUUUCCUGCAGCCUAGUUCCUGGACGAGUGUUAAAUGUGAGCAAAUCCACUGAGAGCAAUCAAAAUGCACAGGUAUUACUCAAGGCAGUAAAGGAAAACAAUCAGCCAGCCCAGAUCACUGACAUUGGCUCUUAGCCUUAUGUGACCUGUAUUAUUCAGUCAGUAUAUAGAGAAUAGUCAUAUUGACCUUCGAAGACCACCAGUGACUUUUGAAGGCCAGUAUUUAGUAAAAGAUGCAAUUAGGUUCAUUUUCUAAAAUAAAAUAAAAUGUCUGCAAUUACCAGGGACAAAAGAUAUGGAUACUCACAAUGAUACUUUUACCAGACACUUUAUGUUAUGAUUCUACAUUAGUUUGGAAUGAUAAUUUCUAAAGAGAAUUUUAUUGAGUUUUCUGUCAAGUUACUGUUUCAGAGCCUCAGCUGUGUGAAUUGGCACAUCUCAUUUGAAGUUGGCAGCAUACCCAAUGGACAUAUUCAUCCAUGUUGUGAGCCGAUUACAAAUAUGAAUUUGGUCUGGUAUGAUGCUGCAGUUUUGGGGGGAAAUAGUUUAGAGCAUAACUACAAGUUUUCAAUCAGGUUGGAUAUUCACAAAGUCUUAUUAGAAGGUAUUUUGGUGAUAUCUAUUUAUGAGUAAUCAACUCUAGUAAGAAACAAAGAAAUGGAUUUCAUUGUAUCAUAUGUUUCAUAUGGAUUUCUUUUCUUUAAAGAGCCUAAUUCAUAAUGCUAUAAGCAACCUUGGUAUACAAAGUGAAAAAAAGUCAGAAAUCAAAUGCAAGGAAGAAUAUAAACACAGCAGCACUGAUUCAUCUGUUUACAGAGAAAAAAAUUCUUCAGGUAAGAUGGUUGUCAAAAGAUAAAAAGGAUUUGAUUAAAAUAUGUUACUAAACUAGUUUGAGUUUUACAUUUUUUAAGGUAUUUUAAAUUAGUAGAUUUACAUGUUCAUUUUACCUUUUUUCCUUUUUUUUUUUUUUUUUUUUUUUUUUAAUGCAUUUUUAACAAGCUUUUGCAAUAUACACGUUCCUCUCAGGUAAAAUUAUUCCCAUGUGUUUCAUUUCACUAAAGUGAGAGAUACAAUUUUAUGGUAAACUAACUAAUUUAGCCAUUUCGUUUGCUAUCUAUGAGCCCAUAAAUGCACCCAGUGUUCUCUCUGCCCCAUUUCUUGUUAAUACACAUGCCAGAUGCAUUAUCUCACUUUUGGUUCCAUUGUAAUGAGGAACAGGAUGGAUUUUUGAAAUUCUCAUUUUCAUCCAUGUUGCAGUCCGGGAACACUAGAAAUCUCUUUCCAUUUAAUUUUUUUUGUAAUCUGAUUUAUACCCAUUUUUUUGGAAACAACUUCUGCAGUACUCAGGAUUGCAAGAUAGAUCUCAAAGUAUUAAUUAUCCAAUCAACACUUUAAACAAAAUUAAACUGGCAACAUGAAUCUCAAGUAAUUUCAUGUGAGAAAUAGAGGGAUUUCACUAUGGAAUUAGAGGGGCAUUUGUUGGUCAAUGUAUGAUCAAUACUAGGAAAUUCUUAAGAGGAAAUACUAGCUCUCUUCUUUUUUUUUCUUUUUUUUUCCUAUCAACUAACAUUUGCCAAUGAUUCUUGAAAACCUGGCUCUGUUCACAUGCAGUGCUUCUGUAUUCCUCCACGGGUUGUCCUGCACAGAGAUCUCAUUACUUUCUGCUAUGCCUGCAAAUCUGGAGAUGGAGAAUAUUCAGAUUUGCUACUGCCAGUCAAACACUUAGAUUUUUGAGUUUGAUAUUGAAUUAGACACUACUUUCUCCUCUUCUGUGCUUUUAAUUGCCCACACUCCCUUUCUGACUUGCCAGUACUGCAGAAAUUGGGUUAUACUUUGCAGUUUGCAGUGUUGUACACAUAAAAGCAGACAAGGGAAGAUGAACUUGAGAACUGGAAAGCUCAGGCUUUCCGGUUAAAUUUUAUACCCAUAAACAACUUUUUUUACAGUUGCACCAUGGUAAAAAAUGAGCAGAUAGGAACUUCCUUUGCCCGUGUUUCAAUUUGGUAUUGGAGGCAUGACAUCUGUAAUAUUACUGGGCCGAGCCUUUGUAAAGUUAAUAUACUUCCUAGCAGACCAUUUGUGUAAUGUGUAUUUAUCACACAGGUUUGAGCUCUCCUUGGGAGGAUCCGUGGGCUUCCCAUUACAAUUCAGAUUUAAGAAUACGGAUUAAAAAAAAAAAAUGACUGAGACAUUUUUAGUGUGUACAUUUUAAUAUUUUUUGGAUGUUUCAAAGUACUUGUACAGAAAGAACUUGUAUCUUUGGCUUCAUUUGGGUCAUUUAUCUGCUGAACUCUACUGAGAGGGGUAAGGGUAAUUGUAUUUUUGCUUAGGGAAUUUUUAUCAAAUCACUGAAAAUUUCUGUCCUGGCUAGCACUGUAAAUAACAGUCAGAAAGCAAAAAAAGUUUAAGUAGGCAGUAAAUUGACCUCCACCUUUUUCUAUAGGAAAAGGAAUCGUUUUGCUGUGUUUCCCUUAUGCAUGGCUGCUCUGCUUCCUGCUAUUCUCUUUUUCCACUGCUGUGAUAAUAAGGUGGAUGCUGGAAACACACUUCAGUGAUCCACGUCUUGUCAAGGUCAGUUCUCACUGUUAACAACAGGGGCUGGAGUUUGCAUUGCCAUUUAUGACUGGGUUUUUGAGAUCAAUGAUAAAGUGAGGAGUUCUUCAUUUCCACUUGUAAAACCACCAGAACCACCAAUAAAAAGGAUGGUCUGUGGGAAGAGCAUAUCUUACGUCUUUAGGAUUUCUUUCUCUGUUGUCAUGAAUGCAGAGGUGGCUGAUGGCCAUGGCUGAUGUGCAUCACUGAUGAAAACCAGUUGCUGGUGCAUGUCCCCACUUCGUGAAGCACAGCCUGUUGCUUUUGCGUGCACUGACAACUAGCUGUCAGCUGUUUUCUGAGCUGGUCUACAGUGGCCAUUUCUCCAACUGUCUGUUGUUGUGAGGAUGUGCUCAUUUCCACAGCAACCUGCUCUCUCUUUUGAUGUCUGUGUGGGCAGGCAUCAGAUCAGAAAAUUCCCUGUGUGAGUUGGAUUUCUAUUUCUCCUUUUAAUGCAUUUUAAUGCAUUUCAAAGCAAGGAUUUACACUGGUUGCCAGCAAAGUUUUUCUGUAAGGAAUUGUGUUUGUCUCCGCCAAAGUCAUGUAUAUGAGUAUGACAGAAAUUAUCAUCCUGAGUAAAGUUAUAAAUUGUGUUACAUAACCCCUUGGGGAAAAAAAAAGCAAGCAAGAGCUAAAGCAGCACUUACAUUUAUGAGCAGUAUUUCAUGGAAUUAGUUCCAUUUUGGCUCUAAUGCCUCUCUGACACAGAUGCUUAAUCUAUCCUUUAUUUUCAAGAAUGCUGUGCUAAAGUUGUCCAGUAAUUCCCACUUCAAAUCCACCAGCACACCACCCCCCAGUCCUUAAGCUAAAUUUGUUCAUAAAUCAUUCAUUUCAAAUGCUGUAAAGAAUUAGCUGAGAUUUUGUUGGUUUGUUUGUUUUUGGGAAGUGGGGGAUGUUCUGUAGUAGUUCUAGUUGUUCUGUAGAGGCAGAGGUGUAGUCAUCCUUUUUCCAAUAGCUGAUGUGUCUUUUCUAUAGGAAGAAAGCAUUGUCCAAAUCAAUUUGGCUAAUUCAUAAAAUUCAAUAAGGUGCCUGUGCAUGCCAUUCUAUUUCUCUGUACAGGGUGAGCAAUGCAUGGAUUUCUUUGCCUCCCUUGGAGGUGUUGGUCAGCUGAAACUCUCUACUUUUGUAUUCAGUAAUGGAUAACUCUUAAUAGAUUUCUUAUUCUAACUCAGUAUUGGCAGAAGGGAACUAAACAUUGCCAAAAAUAUAUCCGCUAUUGAGGAUAGCUCUCUAGGAUGUUCUUCAUUUGAACACUGAAGUCAAGGGGAUAGGAUUGGUCAUGAAGAAACAGGAUUUGCAGUAUUUUUAAACAUCCUCCCCCCUCCCUUUUUUUUUCUCCUUCAUACUUCUGGGAUUAUUGUUUUUUGAGUCAAAUAUGUAAAAGGACAUCUGUAUUUUUGCUUUACCUACAAUUUUUUAUUGUUAUUUACAAGUAGCUGCAAAAUGUGUGCUUUUUUUCCCCUUGAGUGUUUGAAAUAUUUGCAAUGCUUUCAGCCAAAUAUUAAAUUAAUGAAAUAUUGAAGAUUAAUUUUAAGAUAUGGAAUGCUUUUACUGAUAAUACACAGCACAACAGGUGCUGGCACUGCACAUGUAAUUAGCAAAUUAUUAAAAAAACAGUAGUGCAGGCAUUUUUAUUAUUAUACUUAAUGAAAAACUUCGUUUUUUAUUAACAUUUGAGGCUGCUGUUUAUAAUUCCUCAGAAAAUGAAAUACGUCUUUAUUUAGAGCAAAUGUACUGCUGCCUAUUUAACACAACAUCAUUCUACAGCAAUUUUCAUGAAAAUCGCUGAAUGCUGGUAGAUGUGGUGAGUACUGUUUGAGAGUUGUUUUGUUCAUUCUUUUUCCAUUACUGCUUGUAGCAACUGGCAUUAAUUUUGUAGUGCUUCUGUUGAUCUUUCUACAUACUGUACUACUAAUACCCAUUGCAGGAAGAAAGAAGGAACAAAAACCCAGGGCAAAGUAUGGUUACUACUUCAAUACAGGGACAGCUGAUAAAACAAGCACGUCUGCAAAACUCAAUUUUGCGUGUAAAGUAUCCUAGAAGGAGAAACACUCAUGAAUUUCUCACUUGCAACAGGCAGCGGCUGAAAAGAAUAUACAGACCAGACAAGUAGAAGCUCCAUACAUCAUCUAGUUCCUGAAGUACAAACAAGGUGGCUGUGCUAAAUGAUUAGAACACACACGGACUAGACUAUCCUAUGCACAGCAGCACUUUGUAGCUUUUAACUUCAUUGGUGCCUUGCUCAGGAUUUUGUCUUUUGCAGCAAGGAGUGGAGUUUUUUGCUUUGCUUUACUUUGCUUUGCAUGUGUGUUCUUUGUUCCUAUUAAUGCUCAUCACCAAUAUCUCAGCAUCCUGCAGUAAUGCUUUAUGUGUCCUCACACCAAGCAAGUCAGGGAAUGACCUGCAAAGACUUCUACAUCAGCUCCGGGAAUGAAAUUCCCUUGCAAAUAACAGACACAAAUCUGUACGCUAGAGGAAAGAUUCUUCAAGGUGGGGCUAAUGAAGAAUGACAUGACAUACAAGGCAAGGGUUUCUAUGCCUAAGGUGUAGAUAGCAGAAUAACAAUGUCUCUGGAAAUCUACAUCUUGCAGAUUUUGUUAAUCCCACGUUCAUAAUUCAAGUGUAUGUUUGAGCCAGAGCCAGAGCCACAACCUGAAACUGCUUCCUACAAUUCAAGUGAAGCCUUUACUACAGGACCUAGUACACUCCUUGAGCCUCAGCACACACCUUUAACAGUCAGGUGUUGACUAAUUGAGUCCCAGACUCCCUCUCUCUUUUUGAGCCAAAGUACCUUUGUGCUGCACCUGGGCAGGGGGGCAGAAUCUGUGGGAAGUGACUGUAGCUUAGACAGGGUGCUUUCCUGGGCAAUGAGACCCCUCAUGUUCCUCAGGCUCAGAGUUGCAUCUAUCACCUCACGGUUGAAUGAUCUAACUGCUAGACUUAGUCUCUAGGAGGGGUCAGAUACCACUGCUAGCUCUGAGUGGAGGUGGAUGUUGCUGUGAGCUCUCUGCUGUGAUCAUUGUUCUUGACAAGUUUUAAAGGUGUAUUGUGUGCUUCUUGUUCUGGAUCUCGAGGUUACAGCUAUGUAGGAUAACUCAGCCAGGUCUUGAUAUGUGCCAAGCACUUUACAUGCCAAAGUCACUCCAGUAGGGAAAAUUUACAUCGUUUGCUAAAAUGUUAGAUGUUUGUUAGGAGUUUUUUUAAACUGAUUGAUAGCUAGUCACAGCAGUGUAACCCAGAGCACUGAACUAGUCAGUACAGAAGAGCGCAGCUGAAUGGACAAGAGGGACAUGCAGCAAACUCCAGCUCACUGAUCAGCAGACAACAGUUGCCUUGGUUGUCUCUUAGGUAAUGAGUGA
Gallus gallus (chicken) is the source of this 12651-nucleotide long non-coding RNA. RefSeq lists it as uncharacterized. The transcript is spliced from 5 exons. The record is from RefSeq and is a predicted model, not a curated record. NCBI's taxonomy places the organism in Eukaryota, Metazoa, Chordata, Aves, Galliformes, Phasianidae.